This 253-nucleotide ribosomal RNA is filed under the name uncultured bacterium. Its description in RNAcentral is "partial 16S ribosomal RNA". It matches the Rfam family "Bacterial small subunit ribosomal RNA", at positions 524 to 776 of the family's 1533-position model. The record is from RNAcentral.
UACGUAGGGGGCAAGCGUUGUCCGGAAUUAUUGGGCGUAAAGAGCGUGUAGGCGGUCUGGUAAGUCAGCUGUGAAAGUCAAGGGCUCAACCCUUGAAUGCCGGUUGAUACUGUCGGGCUAGAGUCCGGAAGAGGCGAGUGGAAUUCCCGGUGUAGCGGUGAAAUGCGCAGAUAUCGGGAGGAACACCAAUGGCGAAGGCAGCUCGCUGGGACGGUACUGACGCUGAGACGCGAAAGCGUGGGGAGCAAACAGG